RNAcentral lists this RNase MRP RNA (334 nucleotides) under Choanephora cucurbitarum. RNAcentral describes it as "Choanephora infundibulifera f. cucurbitarum RNase MRP". It matches the Rfam family "RNase MRP". Rfam says of the family: RNase MRP is an enzymatically active ribonucleoprotein with two distinct roles in eukaryotes. In mitochondria it plays a direct role in the initiation of mitochondrial DNA replication. In the nucleus it is involved in precursor rRNA processing, where it cleaves the internal transcribed spacer 1 between 18S and 5.8S rRNAs. Lineage: Eukaryota; Fungi; Mucoromycota; Mucoromycetes; Mucorales; Choanephoraceae. The record is from Rfam by way of RNAcentral.
GGCAACAGAGAAGAUCCGCACUUGACGUUUAUUGAUAUUACACACGAGAAUGCUUGUCAUUCAAUACCAUUAUACAUCUGUAUAACGCUAGGGAAGGUCUCCAGACUAUAGCGGCUCUUUUCUUAAAGGGAAAGUGCUGUGCCUGUUAAUGGGCAUGACACAUACGCUGCCUUUGGUAGCGUGCUAUCUUUAUCUCUUGGUCGAACAAAGUUUGAGUUUCAAGAGCUCUGAAGAUAUGCCAAUUUCUGGUCAUAGUUAUAGUUAUUGCGGAUACUAUUUUCUUUUUUUCAUAAAAGAAAUAGUUAACAGAAUGGAGCUUACUCUCUCAAGUUGC